CGCUAGGUGACUGAAAGAAAGUAAUGGUCUCUUAAACCAACCCAUAGUAGUCUUCGCCUACUCCCAGCGA
Non-coding RNA from Limulus polyphemus (Atlantic horseshoe crab), 70 nucleotides. The record is from the annotation of a RefSeq genome assembly. Lineage: Eukaryota; Metazoa; Arthropoda; Merostomata; Xiphosura; Limulidae.